CCUACGGGAGGCAGCAGUGGGGAAUAUUGGGCAAUGGGCGCAAGCCUGACCCAGCAACGCCGCGUGAAGGAAGAAGGCUUUCGGGUUGUAAACUUCUUUUAUCAGGGACGAAGCAAGUGACGGUACCUGAUGAAUAAGCCACGGCUAACUACGUGCCAGCAGCCGCGGUAAUACGUAGGUGGCAAGCGUUAUCCGGAUUUACUGGGUGUAAAGGGCGUGUAGGCGGGAGUGCAAGUCAGAGGUGAAAACUAUGGGCUCAACCCAUAGCCUGCAUUUGAAAUGGUACUUCUUGAGUGCGGGAGAGGAAAUGGGAAGUACGGGGGUAGGGGUGAAAUGCGUAGGUAUACGGAGGAACACCAGUGGCGAAGGAGGAUUGCUGGACAGUAAUUGACGCUGAGGCGCGAAGGCGGGGGGAGCAAACAGGAUUAGAUACCCCGGUAGUC
RNAcentral lists this ribosomal RNA (443 nucleotides) under uncultured bacterium. Its description in RNAcentral is "partial 16S ribosomal RNA". It matches the Rfam family "Bacterial small subunit ribosomal RNA", at positions 338 to 795 of the family's 1533-position model. The record is from RNAcentral.